This 404-nucleotide ribosomal RNA is filed under the name Bacillota bacterium. RNAcentral's name for it is "Firmicutes bacterium partial 16S ribosomal RNA". It matches the Rfam family "Bacterial small subunit ribosomal RNA", at positions 355 to 776 of the family's 1533-position model. Lineage: Bacteria; Bacillati; Bacillota. The record is from RNAcentral.
UGGGGAAUAUUGGACAAUGGGCGAAAGCCUGAUCCAGCAAUGCCGCGUGAGUGAUGAAGGCCCUAGGGUUGUAAAGCUCUUUUACCCGGGAUGAUAAUGACAGUACCGGGAGAAUAAGCCCCGGCUAACUCCGUGCCAGCAGCCGCGGUAAUACGGAGGGGGCUAGCGUUGUUCGGAAUUACUGGGCGUAAAGCGCACGUAGGCGGCUUUGCAAGUCAGAGGUGAAAGCCCGGGGCUCAACCCCGGAAUUGCCUUUGAGACUGCAUCGCUAGAAUUGUGGAGAGGUAAGUGGAAUUCCGAGUGUAGAGGUGAAAAUCGUAGAUAUUCGGAAGAACACCAGUGGCGAAGGCGACUUACUGGACACAUAUUGACGCUGAGGUGCGAAAGCGUGGGGAGCAAACAGG